GUGGGGAAUAUUGGACAAUGGGGGGAACCCUGAUCCAGCCAUGCCGCGUGUGUGAAGAAGGCCUUUUUGGUUGUAAAGCACUUUAAGCGAGGAGGAGGCUACCGAGAUUAAUACUCUUGGAUAGUGGACGUUACUCGCAGAAUAAGCACCGGCUAACUCUGUGCCAGCAGCCGCGGUAAUACAGAGGGUGCAAGCGUUAAUCGGAUUUACUGGGCGUAAAGCGCGCGUAGGUGGCCAAUUAAGUCAAAUGUGAAAUCCCCGAGCUUAACUUGGGAAUUGCAUUCGAUACUGGUUGGCUAGAGUAUGGGAGAGGAUGGUAGAAUUCCAGGUGUAGCGGUGAAAUGCGUAGAGAUCUGGAGGAAUACCGAUGGCGAAGGCAGCCAUCUGGCCUAAUACUGACACUGAGGUGCGAAAGCAUGGGGAGCAAACAGGAUUAGAAACCCUGGUAGUCC
This 452-nucleotide ribosomal RNA is filed under the name uncultured bacterium. Its description in RNAcentral is "partial 16S ribosomal RNA". It matches the Rfam family "Bacterial small subunit ribosomal RNA", at positions 354 to 796 of the family's 1533-position model. The record is from RNAcentral.